UACAGAGGGUGCAAGCGUUGUUCGGAAUUAUUGGGCGUAAAGCGCGUGUAGGCGGCUUUGCAAGUCGGGUGUGAAAGCCCUCAGCUCAACUGAGGAAGGGCGCCCGAAGCUGCAGAGCUUGAGUACCGGAGAGGGUGGCGGAAUUCCCCAAGUAGAGGUGAAAUUCGUAGAUAUGGGGAGGAACACCGGUGGCGAAGGCGGCCACCUGGACCGGCAUUGACGCUGAGGAGCGAAAGCCAGGGGAGCAAACGGG
This 253-nucleotide ribosomal RNA is filed under the name uncultured bacterium. Its description in RNAcentral is "partial 16S ribosomal RNA". It matches the Rfam family "Bacterial small subunit ribosomal RNA", at positions 524 to 776 of the family's 1533-position model. The record is from RNAcentral.